UACGAAGGGGGCUAGCGUUGCUUGGAAUCACUGGGCGUAAAGCGCACGUAGGCGGACUCUUAAGUCAGGGGUGAAAUCCUGGAGCUCAACUCCAGAACUGCCUUUGAUACUGGGAGUCUUGAGUUCGGGAGAGGUGAGUGGAACUGCGAGUGUAGAGGUGAAAUUCGUAGAUAUUGGGAAGAACACCGGUGGCGAAGGCGGCGACCUGGUCCUUGACUGACGCUGAGGCGCGAAAGCGUGGGGAGCAAACAGG
RNAcentral lists this ribosomal RNA (253 nucleotides) under uncultured bacterium. RNAcentral describes it as "partial 16S ribosomal RNA". It matches the Rfam family "Bacterial small subunit ribosomal RNA", at positions 524 to 776 of the family's 1533-position model. The record is from RNAcentral.